CUGAAACACCAGUUCCUUUAUGAUCACCAAAGUUAAGCAGCAUUGAGCUUGGUUAGUUCCCAGAUGGAUGACCACUUUCGAAUACCAAGUGCUGUAA
Molecule: non-coding RNA, 97 nt
Organism: Acanthosepion pharaonis
Lineage: Eukaryota; Metazoa; Mollusca; Cephalopoda; Sepiida; Sepiidae
Source: the annotation of a GenBank genome assembly